GGGUUGUGAGGUUAAGCGACUAAGCGUACACGGUGGAUGCCCUGGCAGUCAGAGGCGAUGAAGGACGUGCUAAUCUGCGAAAAGCGCCGGCGAGGUGAUAUGAACCUUUGACCCGGCGAUGUCCGAAUGGGGAAACCCAGUGCAAUCCGUUGCACUAUCGUUAACUGAAUACAUAGGUUAACGAGGCGAACCGGGGGAACUGAAACAUCUAAGUACCCCGAGGAAAAGAAAUCAACCGAGAUUCCCCCAGUAGCGGCGAGCGAACGGGGAGCAGCCCGGAGUCUGAAUCAGCUUGUGUGUUAGUGGAACGGUCUGGAAAGUCCGACGGUACAGGGUGAUAGUCCCGUACACGAAAGCACACAUGCUGUGAACUCGAAGAGUAGGGCGGGACACGUGGUAUCCUGUCUGAAUAUGGGGGGACCAUCCUCCAAGGCUAAAUACUCCUGACUGACCGAUAGUGAACCAGUACCGUGAGGGAAAGGCGAAAAGAACCCCGGCGAGGGGAGUGAAAAAGAACCUGAAACCGUGUACGUACAAGCAGUGGGAGCCUCUUUAUGGGGUGACUGCGUACCUUUUGUAUAAUGGGUCAGCGACUUAUAUUCUGUAGCAAGGUUAACCGUAUAGGGGAGCCGAAGGGAAACCGAGUCUUAACUGGGCGUUAAGUUGCAGGGUAUAGACCCGAAACCCGGUGAUCUAGCCAUGGGCAGGUUGAAGGUUGGGUAACACUAACUGGAGGACCGAACCGACUAAUGUUGAAAAAUUAGCGGAUGACCUGUGGCUGGGGGUGAAAGGCCAAUCAAACCGGGAGAUAGCUGGUUCUCCCCGAAAGCUAUUUAGGUAGCGCCUCGUGAACUCAUCUUCGGGGGUAGAGCACUGUUUCGGCUAGGGGGCCAUCCCGGCUUACCAACCCGAUGCAAACUACGAAUACCGAAGAAUGUUAUCACGGGAGACACACGGCGGGUGCUAACGUCCGUCGUGAAGAGGGAAACAACCCAGACCGCCAGCUAAGGUCCCAAAGUCAUGGUUAAGUGGGAAACGAUGUGGGAAGGCACAGACAGCCAGGAUGUUGGCUUAGAAGCAGCCAUCAUUUAAAGAAAGCGUAAUAGCUCACUGGUCGAGUCGGCCUGCGCGGAAGAUGUAACGGGGCUAAACCAUGCACCGAAGCUGCGGCAGCGACACUAUGUGUUGUUGGGUAGGGGAGCGUUCUGUAAGCCGUUGAAGGUGUCCUGUGAGGGGUGCUGGAGGUAUCAGAAGUGCGAAUGCUGACAUAAGUAACGAUAAAGCGGGUGAAAAGCCCGCUCGCCGGAAGACCAAGGGUUCCUGUCCAACGUUAAUCGGGGCAGGGUGAGUCGACCCCUAAGGCGAGGCCGAAAGGCGUAGUCGAUGGGAAACAGGUUAAUAUUCCUGUACUUGGUGUUACUGCGAAGGGGGGACGGAGAAGGCUAUGUCAGCCGGGCGACGGUUGUCCCGGUUUAAGCAUGUAGGCGGAGGUUCCAGGUAAAUCCGGUACCUUAUUAACGCUGAGGUGUGAUGACGAGGCACUACGGUGCUGAAGUGAUAAAUGCCCUGCUUCCAGGAAAAGCCUCUAAGCAUCAGGUAACACGAAAUCGUACCCCAAACCGACACAGGUGGUCAGGUAGAGAAUACCAAGGCGCUUGAGAGAACUCGGGUGAAGGAACUAGGCAAAAUGGUGCCGUAACUUCGGGAGAAGGCACGCUGAUGUGUAGGUGAAGUCCCUGCGGACGGAGCUGAAAUCAGUCGAAGAUACCAGCUGGCUGCAACUGUUUAUUAAAAACACAGCACUGUGCAAACACGAAAGUGGACGUAUACGGUGUGACGCCUGCCCGGUGCCGGAAGGUUAAUUGAUGGGGUUAGCGGCAACGCGAAGCUCUUGAUCGAAGCCCCGGUAAACGGCGGCCGUAACUAUAACGGUCCUAAGGUAGCGAAAUUCCUUGUCGGGUAAGUUCCGACCUGCACGAAUGGCGUAAUGAUGGCCAGGCUGUCUCCACCCGAGACUCAGUGAAAUUGAACUCGCUGUGAAGAUGCAGUGUACCCGCGGCAAGACGGAAAGACCCCGUGAACCUUUACUAUAGCUUGACACUGAACACUGGUCCUUGAUGUGUAGGAUAGGUGGGAGGCUUUGAAGCGUGGACGCCAGUCUGCGUGGAGCCAACCUUGAAAUACCACCCUUUAAUGGCUGGUGUUCUAACGUAGACCCGUAAUCCGGGUUGCGGACAGUGUCUGGUGGGUAGUUUGACUGGGGCGGUCUCCUCCCAAAGAGUAACGGAGGAGCACGAAGGUUGGCUAAUCCUGGUCGGACAUCAGGAGGUUAGUGCAAUGGCAUAAGCCAGCUUGACUGCGAGCGUGACGGCGCGAGCAGGUGCGAAAGCAGGUCAUAGUGAUCCGGUGGUUCUGAAUGGAAGGGCCAUCGCUCAACGGAUAAAAGGUACUCCGGGGAUAACAGGCUGAUACCGCCCAAGAGUUCAUAUCGACGGCGGUGUUUGGCACCUCGAUGUCGGCUCAUCACAUCCUGGGGCUGAAGUAGGUCCCAAGGGUAUGGCUGUUCGCCAUUUAAAGUGGUACGCGAGCUGGGUUUAGAACGUCGUGAGACAGUUCGGUCCCUAUCUGCCGUGGGCGCUGGAGAAUUGAGGGGGGCUGCUCCUAGUACGAGAGGACCGGAGUGGACGCAUCACUGGUGUUCGGGUUGUCAUGCCAAUGGCACUGCCCGGUAGCUAAAUGCGGAAAAGAUAAGUGCUGAAAGCAUCUAAGCACGAAACUUGCCCCGAGAUGAGUUCUCCCUGAGACCUUGAGUCUCCUGAAGGAACGUUGAAGACGACGACGUUGAUAGGUCGGGUGUGUAAGCGCAGCGAUGCGUUGAGCUAACCGAUACUAAUGAACCGUGAGGCUUAACCUUACAACGCCGAAGCUGUU
RNAcentral lists this ribosomal RNA (2931 nucleotides) under Enterobacter hormaechei. RNAcentral describes it as "23S ribosomal RNA". It matches the Rfam family "Bacterial large subunit ribosomal RNA". The record is from RNAcentral. Lineage: Bacteria; Pseudomonadati; Pseudomonadota; Gammaproteobacteria; Enterobacterales; Enterobacteriaceae.